UCGGAAUCUGGGAGGACCAUCUCCUAAGGCUAAAUACUCUCUAGUGACCGAUAGUGAACCAGUACCGUGAGGGAAAGGUGAAAAGCACCCCGGAAGGGGAGUGAAAUAGAACCUGAAACCGUGUGCUUACAAGUAGUCAGAGCCCGUUAAUGGGUGAUGGCGUGCCUUUUGUAGAAUGAACCGGCGAGUUACGAUUUGAUGCAAGGUUAAGCAGUAAAUGUGGAGCCGUAGCGAAAGCGAGUCUGAAUAGGGCGUUUAGUAUUUGGUCGUAGACCCGAAACCAGGUGAUCUACCCUUGGUCAGGUUGAAGUUCAGGUAACACUGAAUGGAGGACCGAACCGACUUACGUUGAAAAGUGAGCGGAUGAACUGAGGGUAGCGGAGAAAUUCCAAUCGAACCUGGAGAUAGCUGGUUCUCUCCGAAAUAGCUUUAGGGCUAGCCUCAAGUGAUGAUUAUUGGAGGUAGAGCACUGUUUGGACGAGGGGCCCCUCUCGGGUUACCGAAUUCAGACAAACUCCGAAUGCCAAUUAAUUUAACUUGGGAGUC
Molecule: ribosomal RNA, 546 nt
Filed under: Staphylococcus aureus
Lineage: Bacteria; Bacillati; Bacillota; Bacilli; Caryophanales; Staphylococcaceae
Description: partial 23S ribosomal RNA
Rfam family: Bacterial large subunit ribosomal RNA
Source: RNAcentral